RNAcentral lists this ribosomal RNA (156 nucleotides) under Pachymenia laciniata. RNAcentral describes it as "5.8S ribosomal RNA". It matches the Rfam family "5.8S ribosomal RNA". Rfam says of the family: 5.8S ribosomal RNA (5.8S rRNA) is a component of the large subunit of the eukaryotic ribosome. It is transcribed by RNA polymerase I as part of the 45S precursor that also contains 18S and 28S rRNA. The record is from RNAcentral. Lineage: Eukaryota; Rhodophyta; Florideophyceae; Halymeniales; Halymeniaceae.
CAAAACUCSUAACGGUGGAUGKCUUGGCUCCCACAUCGAUGAAGAACGCNCCAAAAUGCGAAACGUAAUGCGAAUUGCAGAAUCCGUGAAUCAUCAAAUCUUUGAACGCAAGUUGCGCUCGCGGGUAAUCCUGCGAGCAUGUCUGUUUGAGUGUCC